This 1428-nucleotide long non-coding RNA is filed under the name Gossypium barbadense (sea-island cotton). RNAcentral describes it as "long non-coding RNA (GBAR_LNC023395)". The record is from RNAcentral. Lineage: Eukaryota; Viridiplantae; Streptophyta; Magnoliopsida; Malvales; Malvaceae.
AACAUUUCAGUUAUUAAUGACGCUUGGAUUCUAGAUGCAAGAAAUUUCAGAUUAUCUUCAGCUACUUUUAAUACGUGAGAUUAUUAAGUUACUGAGUUAAUUAAUAAUAAUGAAAGGAAAUGGAAAAGAGAGAUGAUUGUCAAUACUUUUCCGGAAGAAAAAGUAGAAAAGAUACUCCGUAUCCCUUUGACGAAAGAACCUCAUGAUGAUUUCUUAGCGUGGAGCGGUGAACCUUCAGGAGAAUACUCGAUUCGUAAUACCUAUAAACUACUACAAAUUUCUGAUCCUAGAGCUUAUACUUUACAAACCGACUACAGAGAUUUUUACAAAAAAAAACUAUGGCUUCUAAAUCUACCUACAAAAAUUAAGAUUACAACUUGGAAAAUUUCAUGGAAUUAUUUGCCUACACGUGUUAAUAUGCAACACAGGAAGCUAGCAAACAGUUCAACAUGCCCCUAAUGUGGAGAAGGAGUAGAAACUAUGGAUCACCUCUUCCGUGAAUGCCCUGUUUCAGUGUCAGUUUGGAGAGCAUUAUCAAUCCUGAAUUUUAUACAUGAACCUAGUUUAGAGUUUUUACAGUGGCUCACCUAGGUCUUCACUCACUAUCCUCCCUCUCAACGUAAACUAUUUUGUUGUGAGCUAUGGGCUAUCUGGGGAGAUAGAAACGCUCGAAUACAUAACAAGAUAAGAAAAAAUGGUCAGGAGAUAGCAAGUUUUGUACACAGUUAUAUUAAAGAACUAAACGGUGUUGAAAAAAGAAUUCCCAAAAUUUCAAAGGAAGUAAAAAAAUGGAAAUACCCACCUGGUCUGUCACUGAAAAUAAACUUCGAUAGAGCAUAUGAUGAGUGACAUCUUCAAUGGGCUUCGGGGAUUGUGGUCAGAAACAGUGAAGGGUUCGUCCUCCCAUCUUGCUCAGAAAUUCAUCACGGAGUGUCCUCCACCUUCGCUGCUGAAGCGCUCGCUUGCCGUAAAGCAGCCCAAAUAGGAAUCGACAUGCAAUGGCCGAAAAUUAUAAUUGAAGGUGACUCAUUAUCAAUAAUCAAAAAAUGAAGACAAACAGGCAUGAUAAAUCGCAGGUAGGGGCAUAUAUACAUGAUAUUCAACAAUUAACGUCUAGAUAUAGAAAUUUAAGGUUUGAAUAUACCCCAAGAUCAACAAAUGGUUUAGCUCAUAUACUAGCAACAGAAUCAUUAAAGAAGAAGGAGGAGGUGUACCUGGUAGAAAGCGUCCCUAGAUAUGCUGAAAAUCAGAAGGAAACUGAUAGCGUGAGAGAACCAAAUUGAAGAUGAAAGGAGAUGGAGAGAAAGAGAGGAUAGUUUCAAAAUUAUCAAAUCAAUAGUUUUUUGGUGAUAAAAGCUUUCCUUGAAAAUUGAAAACGCCAUUAAGAAAGAAAUGAAAAAAAUGAUAGAAUAAUAGGCGUCAGAGUUC